ACUACUGAAUAUUUUUCAUAGUUAACUUUUCCCCUUCCUUGUCUGUCUCUAUUGCUAGGCACUUGUGAUUCUCCUCCACGGUUGAGUUUUGCUGAGCUGCCUGGGGCAGUGAACAAUUCCUAUCCUGUUGGGACCAAACUGAAAUACUCCUGUCGCUCAGGAUAUGUUUUGGGCUCUGGAAAGUCUCCUUUAGUUACAUGUCUUGAAAAUUUAACAUGGUCAGUAGACCCUGAGUUUUGUGUAGGAAGAUCAUGUAAACAACUAGAACUAGAAAAUGGCAGGGUUGAUUUAACCGAUCUCCGGUUUGGUGCAACAGCAACCUUCUCCUGUAAUGGAGGGUACAGAUUAAUUGGAACGACUUCUGUCCAAUGUGUGGCUGUGGGAAAUGGAGUUGAUUGGGAUAAGGAGCUUCCACAUUGCGACGUCAUAAUUACCCA
Mauremys mutica (yellowpond turtle) is the source of this 437-nucleotide long non-coding RNA. RefSeq lists it as uncharacterized. NCBI's taxonomy places the organism in Eukaryota, Metazoa, Chordata, Testudines, Geoemydidae. The transcript has 4 exons. The record is from RefSeq and is a predicted model, not a curated record.